GGGCUCGUCGGCGACCUUUGCAACUUCAUCAUUGACGAGAUUGUUAAUUCUAGAGGCACUUAUCAUGAUGUAAGCUCUGACUUAGGCUCCAAUCCACUUCACCAACACCUGCGUGAGACACACAAGCUUUAUCUUGGACGUUGAUAACAAUCUAGACUAAGAUGCAUGUGGACUUGUGGGAAUAUUUGAACUUGUGAAUUAUGGUUAUGUAAUAGACUUUUCAAUGAAUUAGACAUGUAAUUUGUGGUUUAUAUCGUUCUCGUGUGGUCAUAUUUGAAUUAUAUAUUACAUUCUCUGGUCAGAUUUGAAUCUUUUUUUUGCUGAAAACAGACUGUAGGGGCGGUUGUAGAUUGAACCGCCCCUACAAAUAGUCACUUUAGGGGCGGCUGGUGACAUAGCCGUCCUUACAAAUGGUAUUUCUAAGGGCGACUGACAACACCAGCCGCCCUAACAAAUAUAUUUGUAAGGGCAGUUGGGGCACCCGCCCUUACAAAUGCUUUAUUUAUAAGUGCAAGACCGGAGGGGCGGGCCAGCCGCCAUUACAGAAAGUUCCCAGCCGUCCCUAAAAAUGAAUUUUGUAGUAGUUCUCGAUGCCGACCCAGACCAUGGGAGACGGAUUUGGUACCAGGUAAUCAUCUUCUUUUCUUUUUCUUUUUUUAUGUAACUGUUGCUAGCUGUUUUUAGUUUCUUUAUUAUCAUUGUUGUUUCUUUACGUGUGGUUGAUCACCAUUUGCAUGAAAUGGGGAUUAUGUUUUUGUUUCCCACUCCCACGUACAUGUACUAGUCCUCUAAUUAUUGAUUUUGUUUGGUCAAUUGCACUAGUUUCUUUCGGUAUCCGUAUGAACACAAGUAGGGCGGGGGUGCCUUCUGCCUGCAGAUCAUGAGACCAAACGCAUAUUUCAACGGUGUACCA
Molecule: long non-coding RNA, 913 nt
Filed under: Sorghum bicolor (sorghum)
Lineage: Eukaryota; Viridiplantae; Streptophyta; Magnoliopsida; Poales; Poaceae
Description: long non-coding RNA (SBIC_LNC018732)
Source: RNAcentral